GUCCUCCAGGCCAUGAGCUGCGG
RNAcentral lists this microRNA (23 nucleotides) under Homo sapiens (human). RNAcentral's name for it is "hsa-miR-4691-5p". The record is from miRBase by way of RNAcentral. Lineage: Eukaryota; Metazoa; Chordata; Mammalia; Primates; Hominidae.